RNAcentral lists this ribosomal RNA (607 nucleotides) under uncultured bacterium. Its description in RNAcentral is "bacterial SSU rRNA". It matches the Rfam family "Bacterial small subunit ribosomal RNA", at positions 60 to 667 of the family's 1533-position model. The record is from RNAcentral.
AGCCGAGCGGUAGGGUUUCUUCGGAAACCUGAGAGCGGCGCACGGGUGCGGAACACGUGUGCAACCUACCUUUAUCAGGGGGAUAGCCUUUCGAAAGGAAGAUUAAUACCCCAUAAUAUAUUAGAUGGCAUCAUUUGAUAUUGAAAACUCCGGUGGAUAGAGAUGGGCACGCGCAAGAUUAGAUAGUUGGUGAGGUAACGGCUCACCAAGUCGGUGAUCUUUAGGGGGCCUGAGAGGGUGAUCCCCCACACUGGUACUGAGACACGGACCAGACUCCUACGGGAGGCAGCAGUGAGGAAUAUUGGACAAUGGGUGAGAGCCUGAUCCAGCCAUCCCGCGUGAAGGAUGACGGCCCUAUGGGUUGUAAACUUCUUUUGUAUAGGGAUAAACCUUUCCACGUGUGGAAAGCUGAAGGUACUAUACGAAUAAGCACCGGCUAACUCCGUGCCAGCAGCCGCGGUAAUACGGAGGGUGCAAGCGUUAUCCGGAUUUAUUGGGUUUAAAGGGUCCGUAGGCGGACUCGUAAGUCAGUGGUGAAAUCUCAUAGCUUAACUAUGAAACUGCCAUUGAUACUGCGGGUCUUGAGUAAGGUAGAGGUAGCUGGAAU